UAUGUCAGCGGCAGACGGGUGAGUAACGCGUGGGAUUUACCUUUUGGUUCGGAACAACACAGGGAAACUUGUGCUAAUACCGGAUAAGCCCUUACGGGGAAAGAUUUAUCGCCGAAAGAUCGGCCCGCGUCUGAUUAGCUAGUUGGUGAGGUAAUGGCUCACCAAGGCGACGAUCAGUAGCUGGUCUGAGAGGAUGAUCAGCCACAUUGGGACUGAGACACGGCCCAAACUCCUACGGGAGGCAGCAGUGGGGAAUAUUGGACAAUGGGCGCAAGCCUGAUCCAGCCAUGCCGCGUGAGUGAUGAAGGCCCUAGGGUUGUAAAGCUCUUUUGUGCGGGAAGAUAAUGACGGUACCGCAAGAAUAAGCCCCGGCUAACUUCGUGCCAGCAGCCGCGGUAAUACGAAGGGGGCUAGCGUUGCUCGGAAUCACUGGGCGUAAGGGUGCGUAGGCGGGUCUUUAAGU
Molecule: ribosomal RNA, 463 nt
Filed under: Bradyrhizobium sp.
Lineage: Bacteria; Pseudomonadati; Pseudomonadota; Alphaproteobacteria; Hyphomicrobiales; Nitrobacteraceae
Description: bacterial SSU rRNA
Rfam family: Bacterial small subunit ribosomal RNA
Source: RNAcentral